RNAcentral lists this ribosomal RNA (252 nucleotides) under uncultured bacterium. RNAcentral's name for it is "partial 16S ribosomal RNA". It matches the Rfam family "Bacterial small subunit ribosomal RNA", at positions 524 to 776 of the family's 1533-position model. The record is from RNAcentral.
UACGUAGGUCCCGAGCGUUGUCCGGAUUUAUUGGGCGUAAAGCGAGCGCAGGUGGUUUAUUAAGUCUGGUGUAAAAGGCAGUGGCUCAACCAUUGUAUGCAUUGGAAACUGGUAGACUUGAGUGCAGGAGAGGAGAGUGGAAUUCCAUGUGUAGCGGUGAAAUGCGUAGAUAUAUGGAGGAACACCGGUGGCGAAGGCGAUUCUCUGGACUGUGACUGACGCUGAGGCUCGAAAGCGUGGGGAGCAAACAGG